CCUGACUGCUAUCGGAUUGAUACUAAGCCAUGCGAGUCAUCGUAGCAAUACAAGGCAUACGGCUCAGUAACGCGUAGUCAACCUAACCUAUGGACGGGAAUAACCUCGGGAAACUGAGAAUAAUGCCCGAUAGAACACUAUACCUGGAAUGGUUUGUGUUCCAAAUGAUUUAUCGCCAUAGGAUGGGACUGCGGCCUAUCAGUUUGUUGGUGAGGUAAUGGCCCACCAAGACUAUUACAGGUACGGGCUCUGAGAGGAGUAGCCCGGAGAUGGGUACUGAGACACGGACCCAGGCCCUAUGGGGCGCAGCAGGCGAGAAAACUUUGCAAUGUGCGAAAGCACGACAAGGUUAAUCCGAGUGAUUUGUGCUAAACGAAUCUUUUGUUAGUCCUAGAAACACUAACGAAUAAGGGGUGGGCAAGUUCUGGUGUCAGCCGCCGCGGUAAAACCAGCACCUCAAGUGGUCAGGAUGAUUAUUGGGCCUAAAGCAUCCGUAGCCGGCUCUGUAAGUUUUCGGUUAAAUCUGUACGCUUAACGUACAGGCUGCCGGGAAUACUGCAGAGCUAGGGAGUGGGAGAGGUAGACGGUACUCGGUAGGAAGUGGUAAAAUGCUUUGAUCUAUCGAUGACCACCUGUGGCGAAGGCGGUCUACCAGAACACGUCCGACGGUGAGGGAUGAAAGCUGGGGGAGCAAACCGGAUUAGAUACCCGGGUAGUCCCAGCUGUAAACUAUGCAAACUCAGUGAUGCAUUGGCUUGUGGCCAAUGCAGUGCUGCAGGGAAGCCGUUAAGUUUGCCGCCUGGGAAGUACGUACGCAAGUAUGAAACUUAAAGGAAUUGGCGGGGGAGCACCACAAGGGGUGAAGCCUGCGGUUC
RNAcentral lists this ribosomal RNA (875 nucleotides) under uncultured marine group I thaumarchaeote. Its description in RNAcentral is "bacterial SSU rRNA". It matches the Rfam family "Archaeal small subunit ribosomal RNA", at positions 21 to 903 of the family's 1478-position model. The record is from RNAcentral. Lineage: Archaea; Thermoproteati; Nitrososphaerota.